AACGAACGCUGGCGGCAUGCCUAACACAUGCAAGUCGAACGAGACCUUCGGGUCUAGUGGCGCACGGGUGCGUAACGCGUGGGAACCUGCCCUUAGGUUCGGAAUAACUCAGAGAAAUUUGAGCUAAUACCGGAUAAUGUCUUCGGACCAAAGAUUUAUCGCCGUUGGAUGGGCCCGCGUAGGAUUAGCUUGUUGGUGGGGUAAUGGCCUACCAAGGCGACGAUCCUUAGCUGGUCUGAGAGGAUGAUCAGCCACACUGGGACUGAGACACGGCCCAGACUCUUGCGGGAGGCAGCAGUGGGGAAUAUUGGAAAACGGGGUAAAGGCUGAUCCAGCAAUGCCGCGAGAGUGAUGAAGGCCUUAGGGAUGUGAAGCUCUUUUACAAGGGAUGAUAAUGACAGUACCUGAAGAAUAAGCUCCGGCUAACUACGUG
This 433-nucleotide ribosomal RNA is filed under the name uncultured bacterium. RNAcentral's name for it is "partial 16S ribosomal RNA". It matches the Rfam family "Bacterial small subunit ribosomal RNA", at positions 29 to 507 of the family's 1533-position model. The record is from RNAcentral.